This 680-nucleotide long non-coding RNA is filed under the name Anser brachyrhynchus (Pink-footed goose). Its description in RNAcentral is "lncRNA (ENSABRG00000017789.1)". The record is from RNAcentral. Lineage: Eukaryota; Metazoa; Chordata; Aves; Anseriformes; Anatidae.
UACCUUUUGCACUGUCACUACAAUGUAUGAUAUAAAAAGAAUAAUUUCUUCCUUAGACUUGGAGACUUGUUUCUAACAUCACCAGAUGUGUAUGUCCCAGAGAUAAAGACUAUAGCUUUUUCCCUCUACUCCACUGAACUGUCUGCAGUAUGGGACAUCACCCUACAAGUAGAGGACAACGUGCAAAGGCAGAUACACUUCUUUCUCUGAUAUACCAUUGUGCAUGGACUAAGCAGCAAAACUUCUCCCAGGUUGUAGUUAAAGAUCAUCCAUUUCUUGGACAACUAUUACUUCUUCAAGAACAAGGACAAGAGUGUGAGAUGGGUUAUGAUGCGACAAGACCUUCCUCAAGUUGUGUCCAUAACUGCUGAGUAUUAGACUUCAAUGUUGCAGCUAUGAGCUGUUUCAGAAGCUACAUAGCAAAAUGAGAUGAAACAAACACCUGUGCAAACUAGAACAGUAAUUGCAACAGCACACAGUUAUAUGAUAUGUACCUGGCACUGCACAUGAUAUGUACCUGGCACUGCACUGCAUGUAUGUCAGGCUUAAAAAUACUGACAUGAAGGGCCUAAUUAACAGUACUUAAUUGGCACCCGGUGUCUUUUGAAAUCAAGAAUUCACUGGACCUAACAUUUUUUUCUCAGAUCUCGUCUCCUCUGUAUUCCAAAUGUAUAUGAAAG